GACGAACGCUGGCGGCGUGCUUAACACAUGCAAGUCGAACGAUGAAGAAGAGAAACGCGAACUUCGGUUCAAAUUUCACUUCGGAUUGGUGGCAGACGGGUGAGUAACGCGUGAGCAACCUACCUCUUACAAAGGGAUAGCCUCGGGAAACCGUGAUUAAUACCAUAUGACACAUUCAUAAGGCAUCUUAAGAAUGUUAAAGCUACGGCGGUAAGAGAUGGGCUCGCGUCCCAUUAGCUAGUUGGUGAGGUAACGGCCCACCAAGGCGACGAUGGGUAACCGGCCUGAGAGGGUGAACGGUCACAUUGGAACUGAGACACGGUCCAAACUCCUACGGGAGGCAGCAGUGGGGAAUAUUGCACAAUGGAGGGAACUCUGAUGCAGCGACGCCGCGUGAGCGAUGAAGGAAUUCGUUUCGUAAAGCUCUGUUCUAUGGGAAGAAAAGGACUGUACCAUAGGAGAAAGCCCCGGCUAAAUACGUG
RNAcentral lists this ribosomal RNA (482 nucleotides) under uncultured bacterium. Its description in RNAcentral is "partial 16S ribosomal RNA". It matches the Rfam family "Bacterial small subunit ribosomal RNA", at positions 28 to 507 of the family's 1533-position model. The record is from RNAcentral.